This 556-nucleotide long non-coding RNA is filed under the name Solanum tuberosum (potato). Its description in RNAcentral is "long non-coding RNA (STUB_LNC005694)". The record is from RNAcentral. Lineage: Eukaryota; Viridiplantae; Streptophyta; Magnoliopsida; Solanales; Solanaceae.
UCGACGUUACUAGUAAGCACAUUUACAGUAUAUCUGAACUUGUACAAAUAGCUUUUUCAUUAAACCAAUAACAUCACAAGCCCAUGGAGAAAAAUUAGUAGAAAAAGUCUUGAAAUCAAAAUUAGUUAUAUCGACUUGAUCAAAUAAAAAGUUGACCUAAUUAGAGUAAUUAAAAACUUUGGGGUACAUAUUAAAAUUUCGAUUAUGAGAGUUUCCAAUGCUGAUUGGGAAUCAUUUUUGGUAGGAAAAUUGUAAGAGCAAUCAUGAAAUACCAAUCUUCUGCCUCCAGUAAUUCAGUAUCACUAGGUUUUGCUCCCAAAGUGAUUUGACCAUGACUAUAAAAUAUUUUGUGUAAUGAACCAUGCAUGUAUCAGUAAGAUAAACAGAUCUAUAUAUCCAUUUUGCUAACAGUAAGAGCAGCCAAGCCAGCUCUCCCACUCCAAAUUUGCAGACAAACCAACACCUUGCUGUCUAGAGUGUCUCUCAUCCAAGUGCCCAGGGUGAUGCGGUGAUGAACUCUAUUUCCUGCACACAUCCCAUCCCAGAAACAAUUAGC